AUGCUGAUUCUGGCAGGAGUCAAAGUGGAGGAGUAAGCGGGAGAGCCUUACCCCUGGCGAAUUGUGGAUGACUGUGGUGGGGCCUUUACAAUGGAUACCAUUGGUGGUAGUAUCUUUCAUGUAAUCAAAGGUUUUCGAAAUUUUCCAGUGUGAGUAAACCACAGACUACGAGGAAGUUUGAUAGCUAUUAAAACCAGGGCUCCACAACUGGGAGGUAGCUUUGCCAUUUGGCGAGGCCUGUUUUCCACUAUUGACUGCAGUAUGGUUCAAGUCAGAGGGAAAGAAGAUCCUUGGGACUCCAUCACAAGUGGUGCCUUAACAGGAGCCAUCCUGACAACAAGAAAUGGGCCAGUGGCCAUGGCUGGGUCAGCCACAAUAGGUGGCAUUCUUCUAGCUUUAAUUGAAGGAGCUGGUAUCUUGUUGACAAGAUUUGCCUCUACACAGUUUCCCGAUGGUCCUCAGUUUGCUGAAGAUCCCUCCCAGUUGCUUUCCUCACCUUUUGAAGACUGUGGAAAACAUCAAUAGGACUUCUUUCCCAGGAUUUCUUUAACAGAAUGAGUAAUAGUUUGAGAAGGAUUUCAGAAUAUCAAGUUACAACCUGUUUUUAAAACCAUAGGUGAGACAACUAUGGCCAAUAGGCUAUGAAGAGACAUUUAGCACUUUUUUCUAUUAAAGGAGCGUAAGGGGAGGGGUGCUAAAAGUUAAUGUAUUUAUUUGUUCACACUUGAAUUGCAUUUGUGAUCAGAAUAAAUGUCUAAUACCAAUAAAAGAAAAUAAGUAAGUGCUUUAAAAAUGAAGGACAAAA
RNA transcript from Carlito syrichta (Philippine tarsier), 805 nucleotides. It is a transcript of the gene named mitochondrial import inner membrane translocase subunit Tim17-A pseudogene, with no coding region annotated. The transcript has a single exon. The record is from RefSeq and is a predicted model, not a curated record. Lineage: Eukaryota; Metazoa; Chordata; Mammalia; Primates; Tarsiidae.